GAUUUCCGUAGGGGUGGACUGCGGAGGGAUCAUUACCGAGUUUACAACUCCCAAACCCAUGUGAACAUACCUACUGUUGCUUCGGCGGGAUUGCCCCGGGCGCCUCGUGUGCCCCGGAUCAGGCGCCCGCCUAGGAAACUUAAUUCUUGUUUUAUUUUGGAAUCUUCUGAGUAGUUUUUACAAAUAAAUAAAAACUUUCAACAACGGAUCUCUUGGUUCUGGCAUCGAUGAAGAACGCAGCGAAAUGCGAUAAGUAAUGUGAAUUGCAGAAUUCAGUGAAUCAUCGAAUCUUUGAACGCACAUUGCGCCCGCCAGUAUUCUGGCGGGCAUGCCUGUCUGAGCGUCAUUUCAACCCUCAUGCCCCUAGGGCGUGGUGUUGGGGAUCGGCCAAAGCCCGCGAGGGACGGCCGGCCCCUAAAUCUAGUGGCGGACCCGUCGUGGCCUCCUCUGCGAAGUAGUGAUAUUCCGCAUCGGAGAGCGACGAGCCCCUGCCGUUAAACCCCCAACUUUCCAAGGUGACCUCAGAUCAGGUAGAAUCGA
RNAcentral lists this ribosomal RNA (540 nucleotides) under Clonostachys rosea. RNAcentral describes it as "eukaryotic LSU rRNA". The stretch from base 193 to 346 matches the Rfam family "5.8S ribosomal RNA". The record is from RNAcentral. Lineage: Eukaryota; Fungi; Ascomycota; Sordariomycetes; Hypocreales; Bionectriaceae.